Long non-coding RNA from Eurytemora carolleeae, 200 nucleotides. RefSeq lists it as uncharacterized. The record is from RefSeq and is a predicted model, not a curated record. NCBI's taxonomy places the organism in Eukaryota, Metazoa, Arthropoda, Copepoda, Calanoida, Temoridae. The transcript has 2 exons.
AGAGGUUCCAAGUCUCCGAGAAGAGAUAUCCGUAAUCUGACUUCAUAUCCUGCUCCUAGAGGUUCCAAGACUCCGGGAAGAGAUAUUGGUAAUCUGACUUCAUAUCCUGCUCCUAGGUAAUUAUAUAACAUUAUUUUUAAAAUUAGAACCAGCCACCAUCUAUAAAAGGGAGAAAAAUGCCUAAAAAGGGUGAUUUGUCA